Microtus oregoni (creeping vole) is the source of this 570-nucleotide long non-coding RNA. RefSeq lists it as uncharacterized. NCBI's taxonomy places the organism in Eukaryota, Metazoa, Chordata, Mammalia, Rodentia, Cricetidae. The transcript is spliced from 4 exons. The record is from RefSeq and is a predicted model, not a curated record.
CUGAGGAGCCGAAACAGACCAACUGUUUGGCUGAACCAUAUGAAAUUGGCAGCUUUCAACCAUUUUUUGGCCCACAACCCAAUACUACGCUGUCAUCCAGAUCAGAAAGCAAAGCUCCUUGGCUCUUAACUUUUCAUCUACCUGAUAUCCUGGAAGGAAUCUCCUGGAGAAGCUAUUGGGUGCAAGGGGCUGCCUCAGCCAUGUUCUCUGCCCCGUCUCAUUUGUUCCUCAUCAUGAGGUUCCAUUGUGCUGGGGUGGAGAGCCUGCUGUUGGUGUUACGCCAUUGGUAGAGCAAGAUGGCCCAAAUGUGGGAAAUUAGCAAGCAGGACAAGUGAGGACUCUGCUUCCUCUGGCUUCCGGAAAAGCUCUUUUACCAGUACACUGCCAACGACCUCCACCAUGACUGCAUGACCAGCCAAAUGUUCCAUCCUGUGUUCUCGAACUUUCCAUGGAUAUAUUUGGAGUUGAUUAGGAAACUGAAACCUCACACGGCGAAGCCUCUGAGAGAGAACAACUGUACGGAGUUUCCCCCAUAAUCUGUUGCAAGCUUUCUUUGCUCUUAACAUCUUG